AUUGAACGCUGGCGGAAUGCUUUACACAUGCAAGUCGAACGGCAGCACGGACUUCGGUCUGGUGGCGAGUGGCGAACGGGUGAGUAAUGUAUCGGAACGUGCCCAGUCGUGGGGGAUAACGUAGUGAAAAUUACGCUAAUACCGCAUACGAUCUAUGGAUGAAAGCGGGGGAUCGCAAGACCUCGCGCGAUUGGAGCGGCCGAUAUCAGAUUAGGUAGUUGGUGGGGUAAAGGCCCACCAAGCCAACGAUCUGUAGAUGGUAUGAGAGGACGACCAGCCACACUGGAACUGAGACACGGUCCAGACUCCGACGGGAGGCAGCAGUGGGGAAUUUUGGACAAUGGGCGAAAGCCUGAUUCAGCCAUUCCGCGUGCAGGAUGAAGGCCCUCGGGUUGUAAACUGCUUUUGUACAGAACGAAAAGGUUUCUACUAAUACUAGGAGCUCAUGACGGUACUGUAAGAAUAAGCACCGGCUAACUACGUGCCAGCCGCCGCCGUAA
Molecule: ribosomal RNA, 500 nt
Filed under: uncultured bacterium
Lineage: Bacteria
Description: partial 16S ribosomal RNA
Rfam family: Bacterial small subunit ribosomal RNA
Source: RNAcentral